UACGUAGGGGGCAAGCGUUGUCCGGAAUCAUUGGGCGUAAAGCGCGCGUAGGCGGCCCUGUAAGUCCGUUGUGAAAGUCGAAGGCUCAACCUUCGAAAGCCGAUGGAUACUGCAGGGCUAGAGUCCGGAAGAGGCGACUGGAAUUCCUGGUGUAGCGGUGGAAUGCGCAGAUAUCAGGAGGAACACCGGUGGCGAAGGCGGGUCUCUGGGCUGUAACUGACGCUGAGGAGCGAAAGCGUGGGGAGCGAACAGG
Molecule: ribosomal RNA, 253 nt
Filed under: uncultured bacterium
Lineage: Bacteria
Description: partial 16S ribosomal RNA
Rfam family: Bacterial small subunit ribosomal RNA
Source: RNAcentral